This 259-nucleotide ribosomal RNA is filed under the name Truncatella hartigii. RNAcentral describes it as "5.8S ribosomal RNA". The stretch from base 102 to 255 matches the Rfam family "5.8S ribosomal RNA". From Rfam's summary of the family: 5.8S ribosomal RNA (5.8S rRNA) is a component of the large subunit of the eukaryotic ribosome. It is transcribed by RNA polymerase I as part of the 45S precursor that also contains 18S and 28S rRNA. The record is from RNAcentral. Lineage: Eukaryota; Fungi; Ascomycota; Sordariomycetes; Amphisphaeriales; Sporocadaceae.
AGCGAGUUACCCUGUAACGACCUACCCUGUAGCGCCUGCCGAUGGACCAUUAAACUCUUGUUAUUUUUAAGUAAUCUGAGCGUCUUAUUUUAAUAAGUCAAAACUUUCAACAACGGAUCUCUUGGUUCUGGCAUCGAUGAAGAACGCAGCGAAAUGCGAUAAGUAAUGUGAAUUGCAGAAUUCAGUGAAUCAUCGAAUCUUUGAACGCACAUUGCGCCCAUUAGUAUUCUAGUGGGCAUGCCUGUUCGAGCGUCAUUUC